This 259-nucleotide unclassified non-coding RNA is filed under the name uncultured Actinomycetes bacterium. Its description in RNAcentral is "uncultured actinobacterium contains 16S-23S intergenic spacer region". Lineage: Bacteria; Bacillati; Actinomycetota; Actinomycetes. The record is from RNAcentral.
UCCGGUUUGGCACCGGCAGUCCCUCUAGAGUCCUCGGCUUUCACCCGCUUUAACUAGCAUGUCAAGCCUAGGUAAGGUUCUUCGCGUUGCAUCGAAUUAAGCCACAUGCUCCGCCGCUUGUGCGGGCCCCCGUCAAUUCCUUUGAGUUUUAGCCUUGCGGCCGUACUCCCCAGGCGGAGUGCUUAAUGCGUUAGCUGCGGCACAGAGAGGGUUGAAGACCUCCCCACACCUAGCACUCAACGUUUACGGCUGGGACUAC